GGCAGUGUCACCUAGUGGAUCGAGCACUGGACUGGGACUCCGAGGAACUGGGUUCUAGUCCCAGCACUGCCA
Molecule: transfer RNA, 72 nt
Filed under: Chelonia mydas (Green sea turtle)
Lineage: Eukaryota; Metazoa; Chordata; Testudines; Cheloniidae
Rfam family: tRNA
About the family: Transfer RNA (tRNA) molecules are approximately 80 nucleotides in length. Their secondary structure includes four short double-helical elements and three loops (D, anti-codon, and T loops).
Source: Rfam by way of RNAcentral